This 497-nucleotide ribosomal RNA is filed under the name uncultured bacterium. RNAcentral's name for it is "partial 16S ribosomal RNA". It matches the Rfam family "Bacterial small subunit ribosomal RNA", at positions 28 to 507 of the family's 1533-position model. The record is from RNAcentral.
GAUGAACGCUGGCGGCGUGCCUAAUACAUGCAAGUCGAGCGAACAGAUGAGGAGCUUGCUCCUCUGACGUUAGCGGCGGACGGGUGAGUAACACGUGGAUAACCUACCUAUAAGACUGGGAUAACUUCGGGAAACCGGAGCUAAUACCGGAUAAUAUAUUGAACCGCAUGGUUCAAUAGUGAAAGACGGCUUUGCUGUCACUUAUAGAUGGAUCCGCGCCGCAUUAGCUAGUUGGUAAGGUAACGGCUUACCAAGGCAACGAUGCGUAGCCGACCUGAGAGGGUGAUCGGCCACACUGGAGCUGAGACACGGUCCAGACUCCUACGGGAGGCAGCAGUAGGGAAUCUUCCGCAAUGGGCGAAAGCCUGACGGAGCAACGCCGCGUGAGUGAUGAAGGUCUUCGGAUCGUAAAACUCUGUUAUUAGGGAAGAACAAAUGUGUAAGUAACUAUGCACGUCUUGACGGUACCUAAUCAGAAAGCCACGGCUAACUACGUG